GUGAGGUAACGGCUCACCAAGGCAUCGACGGGUAGCUGGUCUGAGAGGACGAUCAGCCGCACUGGGACUGAGACACGGCCCAGACUCCUACGGGAGGCAGCAGUAGGGAAUCUUGCGCAAUGGGCGAAAGCCUGACGCAGCAACGCCGCGUGGGGGAAGAAGGCUCUCGGGUCGUAAACCCCUUUCAGCAGGGACGAAAAUGACGGUACCUGCAGAAGAAGGACCGGCCAACUACGUGCCAGCAGCCGCGGUAAUACGUAGGGUCCAAGCGUUGUCCGGAUUUAUUGGGCGUAAAGAGCUCGUAGGCGGUUUGGUAAGUCGGGUGUGAAAACUCAGGGCUCAACCCUGAGACGCCACUCGAUACUGCCAUGACUAGAGUCCGGUAGGGGAGUGUGGAAUUCCUGGUGUAGCGGUGAAAUGCGCAGAUAUCAGGAGGAACACCAACAGCGAAGGCAGCACUCUGGGCCGGUACUGACGCUGAGGAGCGAAAGCAUGGGGAGCAAACAGGAUUAGAUACCCUGGUAGUCCAUGCCGUAAACGUUGGGCACUAGGUGUGGGUCCCAUCCAACGGGAUCCGUGCCGCAGCUAACGCAUUAAGUG
This 600-nucleotide ribosomal RNA is filed under the name uncultured actinomycete. RNAcentral's name for it is "bacterial SSU rRNA". It matches the Rfam family "Bacterial small subunit ribosomal RNA", at positions 252 to 866 of the family's 1533-position model. Lineage: Bacteria; Bacillati; Actinomycetota; Actinomycetes; Actinomycetales. The record is from RNAcentral.